UACGAAGGGGGCUAGCGUUGCUCGGAAUUACUGGGCGUAAAGCGCACGUAGGCGGCUCUCUAAGUCGGGGGUGAAAUCCUGGAGCUCAACUCCAGAACUGCCUUCGAUACUGGAGAGCUCGAGUCCGGGAGAGGUGAGUGGAACUGCGAGUGUAGAGGUGAAAUUCGUAGAUAUUCGCAAGAACACCAGUGGCGAAGGCGGCUCACUGGCCCGGUACUGACGCUGAGGUGCGAAAGCGUGGGGAGCAAACAGG
This 253-nucleotide ribosomal RNA is filed under the name uncultured bacterium. RNAcentral describes it as "partial 16S ribosomal RNA". It matches the Rfam family "Bacterial small subunit ribosomal RNA", at positions 524 to 776 of the family's 1533-position model. The record is from RNAcentral.